CGUGGCGGACGGGUGAGUAACGCGUGGGUAACCUGCCUCAUACAGGGGGAUAACGGUUAGAAAUGACUGCUAAUACCGCAUAAGCGCACAGUACCGCAUGGUACGGUGUGAAAAACUCCGGUGGUAUGAGAUGGACCCGCGUCUGAUUAGCUAGUUGGUGGGGUAACGGCCCACCAAGGCGACGAUCAGUAGCCGACCUGAGGGGGUGACCGGCCACAUUGGGACUGAGACACGGCCCAG
This 240-nucleotide ribosomal RNA is filed under the name uncultured bacterium. Its description in RNAcentral is "partial 16S ribosomal RNA". It matches the Rfam family "Bacterial small subunit ribosomal RNA", at positions 94 to 334 of the family's 1533-position model. The record is from RNAcentral.